Molecule: long non-coding RNA, 837 nt
Organism: Mesocricetus auratus (golden hamster)
Lineage: Eukaryota; Metazoa; Chordata; Mammalia; Rodentia; Cricetidae
Exons: 5
Source: RefSeq, a predicted model, not a curated record
AGUCACCCAUUCCUGAACCCAAUGUCCUUUCUCCACUUAUUCACUAAGGACAUAUCCUUGACAUACUUCCCAUGAAAUGGUACAUAACAGGAGUGGCAGGAUGAUGACCCCCAAGAGAUGGGAAGGUGUGAUCCAGUUACUUCUUGUAGACGAAGGAGAAGGAUGUUCUCAAACUCCUGCCUGAGGAACCCAUUUAGAUGGCACCAACCUUGACUUUCAGAUAGAACAGUACAUCUGCAAAAGGAAAAGUGAUGAUAUCUACAUUAUACUUGGAGUUAUAUAGACUUCUGUAAUUGGAUGGACAGAUUAUUUCCCUAGGCACAAAAUGAUGUAUUCAUCUAAGCAGAGUGUUAUCUUUUACAAGUGAAACUCCGGCUGGAAAAUUUUUUGUGGAUUUAGUUGGAGCAUUUGGGGGACCAUAUGGAGCUCUCUGAGGCGCCACGGGACCACGCGGCUAUGAAAUCUGAUCACCUUCUCCCCAGUGACAGCUGGGCCUUUACACCAUCAGAAAAUUUUCAGACUUCUAAUUUGUCAUAACUACCUCCUGUGGAAAGGAAAUAUGUUAUGUAGCCAAACAAAAAAUUUUAGUACUCAGCCCUAUAAACAGUUAAUUCCUUAACUUCAUUUUGUGGUUCACUGAUGCAACUCCUACACCAAAACCAUAUGGAGCCUUCAAAAGAUACGGCUUGCCAUUUCCCGACCCACUCCAAAAGCAUUCUAAUGGCAAUGCAUAUAGAGAAAGGUUCUGUCACAGGGCUUAGCAUCUUAAAUACAUUUAACUUUUGGUUGUUCUCAAAAAGUUGCUCAAACUGUUGAAAGGUUUCAUCUGGGUUCUAA